This 1147-nucleotide long non-coding RNA is filed under the name Citrus x clementina. RNAcentral's name for it is "Citrus clementina (C. clementina) long non-coding RNA (CCLE_LNC006635)". The record is from RNAcentral. Lineage: Eukaryota; Viridiplantae; Streptophyta; Magnoliopsida; Sapindales; Rutaceae.
AUAAUAUUUAGAAUUUCCAAUGCAUGUCCUAACUUCUUGGGUAGGAUCAAAUAAGUUUUAUUUUCAAUAGGAAAAAAAUCAGCAUACUUGUUCUAUGCAACCUUUAUGUCAAUUUCAGUUUAAUGACAAAGUUAUCUUUGGAAGAUAAAUGGAGAAUACAUCUACAAUGAACAAGAACAAACUUGAUUGCAUUAAUAUAAAUCAUCAAAUAACAUCAUCUAAUAUUAAUAGCCCUUUUAUCAUUUGUAUCAGAAACUGCACAUUGGUGAGCUUACUAUAGAACAAUAAGCAUAAACCAAAAUCUUAACAUGUUUACAAAUAAUGAUAGAGGACAGUAGAAUUAAAAAAAAACAGCAGAUUGCAUAUCAUACCUUCAAGGAGAGCUCGAAAUCAACCUCACCUUAUAGGACACUGCAAUAGUCUUGAAUAGGGUCGCGCAUUUCAAUUUUUUGUUGGUGUUUUCAAUUUUCAGUUCAGAUUACAACCAGUUUGGGUUCAAGAAUUCAACCCAAAGGGGUUGAAAAGUUAUUUCAGUUUGGUUUGGUUUCAAAGUCAGUGUGGUUUGGUUUCGAUUCGUAGUUUUUCGGGUCGGUUUGGGUUAUAAAGCGGUUUGGAUUUCUAAUUCAGGUCAGGUCACUGAUUUGUAUUGGAGCAAGUAUUGUCAAAAAUGAACUGAAAACAACAAAUGAUGAAAUAUUUGGUUUACUAAAACAACAAAUUCAAAAUAUUCAAUUAUAAAUUACAACGAUAAACAAUACCAAAGGAAACAACUUCAAACCUGAAAACUCUUUUUCUGGCUCGAUUUUGGAUACAUCUUGGAUGCCUUCUACUACUUUUGAAGGUCGUUAUGUUUUCCUUUGGGUUCAUAGUCUCCGGCAUUCCUUUCCCUCAUGAAGAAUUCUGUGGAAAAUACAUAACAAGAUUCGUAAAUAAAUCUUUUGGGGGGCAAACAAACGUUUAACAAUUAUCUUUUAUAAAAGGAUUUAAAACCACAAUACCAAGCUGACACAACUUCGCAUUGGCCAAAAAAAGAAACGAUAUUCAGAAUUAUGAACUAGCAAGUUUUCAAAAGUUCAUUUUAAAUCCAAAUGUUAAGAUUUAAAAAAUUCAGGUCGAUUCCAUUCCAUCAUCAGCUUUAAACACUUGG